RNAcentral lists this transfer RNA (78 nucleotides) under Candidatus Jacksonbacteria bacterium RIFCSPHIGHO2_02_FULL_44_25. RNAcentral describes it as "tRNA-Asp". It matches the Rfam family "tRNA". From Rfam's summary of the family: Transfer RNA (tRNA) molecules are approximately 80 nucleotides in length. Their secondary structure includes four short double-helical elements and three loops (D, anti-codon, and T loops). RNAcentral also lists the same sequence under 5 other names. The record is from RNAcentral. Lineage: Bacteria; Candidatus Jacksoniibacteriota.
GGGGGCGUAGCUUAGCUGGCUUAAAGCGUCUGCCUGUCACGCAGAAGAUCGCGGGUUCGAAUCCCGUCGUCCCCGCCA